AACGAACGCUGGCGGCAUGCCUAACACAUGCAAGUCGAACGAUUGCCUUCGGGUGAUAGUGGCGCACGGGUGCGUAACGCGUGGGAAUCUGCCCUUAGGUUCGGAAUAACAGCUGGAAACGGCUGCUAAUACCGGAUGAUAUCGCGAGAUCAAAGAUUUAUCGCCUGAGGAUGAGCCCGCGUUGGAUUAGGGAGUUGGUGGGGUAAAGGCCUACCAAGCCGACGAUCCAUAGCUGGUCUGAGAGGAUGAUCAGCCACACUGGGACUGAGACACGGCCCAGACUCCUACGGGAGGCAGCAGUGGGGAAUAUUGGGGAAUGGGCGCAAGCCUGAUCCAGCAAUGCCGCGUGAGUGAUGAAGGCCCUAGGGUUGUAAAGCUCUUUUACCCGGGAAGAUAAUGACUGUACCGGGAGAAUAAGCCCCGGCUAACUACGUG
This 435-nucleotide ribosomal RNA is filed under the name uncultured bacterium. RNAcentral describes it as "partial 16S ribosomal RNA". It matches the Rfam family "Bacterial small subunit ribosomal RNA", at positions 29 to 507 of the family's 1533-position model. The record is from RNAcentral.